RNAcentral lists this long non-coding RNA (372 nucleotides) under Homo sapiens (human). RNAcentral describes it as "HSALNT0116251". Lineage: Eukaryota; Metazoa; Chordata; Mammalia; Primates; Hominidae. The record is from RNAcentral.
AGAGGUUAUGGUCCUCAGCCCAUAGAAAUGGGUGCAUCCGCUUGGAAGCUCCACCUUCUAAGGCCAUGGUGAGUGCUCUGUCCACUCUGGUGGUCUCUGCUUUAUUUUCAGUGGGGAUAUUUUUUAAUGAAGGCCCUCCAGUGAAUUUUCUUUGUCCUCAUGUUCAACACUUACUGUGUUGAAUUGAAUACUUGGCACUUUUUCACAUUUUAGAAAGAUAUUCUGCAUUAUAGAAUGGAUUACACAUUGGUAUUACAAUAUCUAAACUUUGAUAGUUCUAUAAAUGCUUUAGAAGGAAUAUAUUUGGGUCACAGGUAAAGUCCAUUAAAGAGCAGAAAGUUAGUACAUUAUUCUGUCCUUCUGUUCAUCGUC